RNAcentral lists this long non-coding RNA (264 nucleotides) under Lathyrus oleraceus (garden pea). Its description in RNAcentral is "Pisum sativum (pea) long non-coding RNA (PSAT_LNC015276)". Lineage: Eukaryota; Viridiplantae; Streptophyta; Magnoliopsida; Fabales; Fabaceae. The record is from RNAcentral.
AAAAACUGUUAUAACAGAAGCAAAUCUUCAACCGACCUUAACCCCGAAAUGAACCAUAACAGACUUCGAAGCUAACAUACUCUUCAUAACCGCCCCCAACUCCAUAGCAGAAAAAAGAGUAUAAGUAGAAUCUGCUAACAACCAUUCCACCAACUCUAAAACCACGCCGUAAUAGAACCGCUAACCUCCCUCCAUAACUCUCAUCCACACCCUUCAACUUAAAUCCAUAAUCAACUUCUCAAACAAACUAUUUUUAUAACAGAA